AUGGGCGGCGAGCGGCGGACGGGUGAGUAAUGCCUAGGAAAUUGCCCUGAUGUGGGGGAUAACCAUUGGAAACGAUGGCUAAUACCGCAUAAUGCCUACGGGCCAAAGAGGGGGACCUUCGGGCCUCUCGCGUCAGGAUAUGCCUAGGUGGGAUUAGCUAGUUGGUGAGGUAAGGGCUCACCAAGGCGACGAUCCCUAGCUGGUCUGAGAGGAUGAUCAGCCACACUGGAACUGAGACACGGUCCAGACUCAUACGGGAGGCAGCAGUGGGGAAUAUUGCACAAUGGGCGCAAGCCUGAUGCAGCCAUGCCGCGUGUAUGAAGAAGGCCUUCGGGUUGUAAAGUACUUUCAGUCGUGAGGAAGGUUCAUGCGUUAAUAGCGUAUGGAUUUGACGUUAGCGACAGAAGAAGCACCGGCUAACUCCGUGCCAGCAGCCGCGGUAAUACGGAGGGUGCGAGCGUUAAUCGGAAUUACUGGGCGUAAAGCGCAUGCAGGUGGUUAGUUAAGUCAGAUGUGAAAGCCCGGGGCUCAACCUCGGAAUUGCAUUUGAAACUGGCUGACUAGAGUACUGUAGAGGGGGGUAGAAUUUCAGGUGUAGCGGUGAAAUGCGUAGAGAUCUGAAGGAAUACCGGUGGCGAAGGCGCCCCCUGGACAGAUACUGACACUCAGAUGCGAAAGCGUGGGGGGAGCAAACAGGAUUAGAUACCCUGGUAGUCCACGCCGUAAACGAUGUCUAC
RNAcentral lists this ribosomal RNA (737 nucleotides) under Vibrio panuliri. RNAcentral describes it as "bacterial SSU rRNA". It matches the Rfam family "Bacterial small subunit ribosomal RNA", at positions 84 to 816 of the family's 1533-position model. Lineage: Bacteria; Pseudomonadati; Pseudomonadota; Gammaproteobacteria; Vibrionales; Vibrionaceae. The record is from RNAcentral.